CGGCGCGCCUAACACAUGCAAGUCGAACGAGGUCUUUUAGAAGCUUGCUUCUGGCUGACCUAGUGGCGGACGGGUGAGUAACACGUGAGCAACCUGCCCUACAGAGGGGGAUAACGUCUGGAAACGGACGCUAAUACCGCAUAACGUAUCGGAGUGGCAUCGCUCUGGUACCAAAGGAGAAAUCCGCUGUGGGAUGGGCUCGCGGCCGAUUAGAUAGUUGGUGAGGUAACGGCUCACCAAGUCGACGAUCGGUAGCCGGACUGAGAGGUUGAUCGGCCACAUUGGGACUGAGACACGGCCCAGACUCCUACGGGAGGCAGCAGUGGGGGAUAUUGCACAAUGGGGGAAACCCUGAUGCAGCGACGCCGCGUGGGUGAAGACGGCCUUCGGGUUGUAAAGCCCUGUUGAGGGGGACGAUAAUGACGGUACCCCUUUAGAAAGCCACGGCUAACUACGUGCCAGCAGCCGCAGUAAAAC
RNAcentral lists this ribosomal RNA (477 nucleotides) under uncultured bacterium. RNAcentral describes it as "bacterial SSU rRNA". It matches the Rfam family "Bacterial small subunit ribosomal RNA", at positions 40 to 526 of the family's 1533-position model. The record is from RNAcentral.